RNAcentral lists this ribosomal RNA (680 nucleotides) under uncultured bacterium. RNAcentral's name for it is "bacterial SSU rRNA". It matches the Rfam family "Bacterial small subunit ribosomal RNA", at positions 139 to 813 of the family's 1533-position model. The record is from RNAcentral.
CGGGAUAACCCGGAGAAAUCCGGCCUAAUACCGCAUGUGGCCGAGGGGAGGCAUCUUCUUUCGGCCAAAGGAGGCGACUCCGGAGACGGAUGGGCAUGCGUGACAUUAGCUUGUUGGCGGGGUAACGGCCCACCAAGGCGACGAUGUCUAGGGGUUCUGAGAGGAAGGUCCCCCACACUGGUACUGAGACACGGACCAGACUCCUACGGGAGGCAGCAGUGAGGAAUAUUGGUCAAUGGGCGAGAGCCUGAACCAGCCAAGUCGCGUGAAGGAUGACGGCCCUACGGGUUGUAAACUUCUUUUGUCAGGGAGCAAUUGGGUCCACGUGUGGGCUUAGCGAGAGUACCUGAAGAAAAAGCAUCGGCUAACUCCGUGCCAGCAGCCGCGGUAAUACGGAGGAUGCGAGCGUUAUCCGGAUUUAUUGGGUUUAAAGGGUGCGUAGGCGGAAUAUCAAGUCAGCGGUAAAAAUUCGGGGCUCAACCCCGUCGUGCCGUUGAAACUGAUGUUCUUGAGUGGGCGAGAAGUAUGCGGAAUGCGUGGUGUAGCGGUGAAAUGCAUAGAUAUCACGCAGAACUCCGAUUGCGAAGGCAGCAUACCGGCGCCCAACUGACGCUGAAGCACGAAAGCGUGGGUAUCGAACAGGAUUAGAUACCCUGGUAGUCCACGCAGUAAACGAUGAA